GAUGAAGAACGCAGCGAAAUGCGAUAAGUAAUGCGAAUUGCAGAAUUUCCGUGAGUCAUCGAAUCUUUGAACGCACAUUGCGCCCACUGGUAUUCCGGUGGGCAUGCCUGUUCGAGCGUCAUUAUCCCCCCUCAAACCCCGUGUUUGGUGUUAGACCCAAGUUGUGUGAACAACUGGUCUCAAAGACAAUGACGGCGUCCGUGGGACCCUCGGUGCAACGAGCUUUUAGGAGCACGCGAUGAGUUUCAAGGACCCUCCGGGCCGGUCUCCUAUUUAUCAUCAAGGUUGACCUCGGAUCAGGUAGGAAUACCCGCUGAACUUAAGCAUAUCAAUAAGCGGAGGA
RNAcentral lists this unclassified non-coding RNA (343 nucleotides) under soil metagenome. RNAcentral describes it as "partial contains 5.8S ribosomal RNA, internal transcribed spacer 2, and large subunit ribosomal RNA". The stretch from base 1 to 121 matches the Rfam family "5.8S ribosomal RNA", at positions 35 to 154 of the family's 154-position model. The record is from RNAcentral.